RNAcentral lists this small nucleolar RNA (77 nucleotides) under Ornithorhynchus anatinus (platypus). RNAcentral describes it as "Small nucleolar RNA SNORD83 (ENSOANG00000017997.2)". It matches the Rfam family "Small nucleolar RNA SNORD83". From Rfam's summary of the family: U83 (SNORD83) and U84 (SNORD84) are members of the C/D class of snoRNA which contain the C (UGAUGA) and D (CUGA) box motifs. They act as guanine methylation guides but lack complementarity to ribosomal RNA. Lineage: Eukaryota; Metazoa; Chordata; Mammalia; Monotremata; Ornithorhynchidae. The record is from Rfam by way of RNAcentral.
GCCACAUGAUGAACCCUGAGACGUCACUAGCAUACCGUGCAAAGAUGACUCACAUCUAUCACCCAAGACUGAUGGUU